UGGGAAGCAGCGUAGCUUGGUAGCGCGUUUGUUUUGGGUACAAAAUGUCACGGGUUCAAAUCCUAUCCCAA
RNAcentral lists this transfer RNA (71 nucleotides) under Oryza meridionalis. It matches the Rfam family "tRNA". From Rfam's summary of the family: Transfer RNA (tRNA) molecules are approximately 80 nucleotides in length. Their secondary structure includes four short double-helical elements and three loops (D, anti-codon, and T loops). Lineage: Eukaryota; Viridiplantae; Streptophyta; Magnoliopsida; Poales; Poaceae. The record is from Rfam by way of RNAcentral.